UCCUCCAUGGAAGGUGCAAGUCUGUGAUCAUCGGCAGUAUGAGUGAAGAUGGAUUUGCCUAAGCCGUCUUUGGGGAACUUUGCUGAGCUGAUGUGAAGGAUGUCUCUACCCAGAAGGAGAAGUACCUAAGCAUCGGGAUCGAGAGGUGGUAUUUCAUCGGCAAUGCAUUUCAGGUGUGUAUGGUGGCAUGCUGCGCCCGGGGAGGGUAUCUCAGAUCUAUUUUCAAGAACUUGGUUGCGUUCGAUAAACGUAGCUAGAGGAAAGCUUAGUUUCUUGGACACUUACUCAAUAGUCUAACCAUAAGCUCUGCUCCCCGCUGUCUCUUUAAGCCCUGUACAUGUCUUGAGGGUGUAUACGUACGUAGUAGCACCCAGAGAUCUUAAAGGCAUCGUAGAACACUUACUUUGCUCAUCAAGUAUUGCGGUCAUUCUCUUGGACUACUGUCUGGGUCCAGUGAGGUACACGGUUCUCACAAUUAAUCCUUUGCCACACACUUUUGUGCACCUCGAAGUGACCUCCUGAGCCUCUGCUUUGUCCUCCUCGCUAUGCUCUGAAUCGGGAGGGGACGACUUGGACUUCCAUGUUGCUGGUUUGUUACCCUCUCUUUACUCAGGCUUGUCCACUGAAGAGACUUUGGACUUGUGCACGUAUACAGGCGCCUUCAUAGGCCUCUCCCAGUAGUAAUUUCUCCCUGUUGGAGCUUGUGUGAAGAGGUUAAAGCUUGGGUCUAUUCAAGCUUUUGCUUCUUUGUGAAUGAAGUCUACAAACACAGAGAAAGGAUGGAAACUGACUAAGUGGUCACGUUUGUAUCAUGAUCCAAUGUAGAUCCACUUUUCCUGAAUGUUGUGUGGAAGUUUCUUGACUAUUUGACUCUUAUGAAAGGCCGGUGAAGUAGCUAUUUAGCUGCUUCCAGAUCAGACAACAGAUCUGCUAGAUCUCCAAGUCUCCUUGGGUCCUUUCUUAUGAUUUUGGGGAAGCAUUCCAGUUUACCAAAGAAGGCCUGUUCGACGACCCCGGUGAGCAAUAUAGCACGUCGAGCCGCUCCCAUCUCAUGGACAAUCCAGUGGGAGGAUGUCUGAUAUUGACUGAUUUAUUUAUUUGAAGCUUUCUGCAGACUCUCUUCCAAGAUAAUUGGUACGAAGGUCGAGCUGUUCUCCGUCAGACAGGUCCAGGUGGUCAAUAGCACUAUGGAACAACGUUUUCCAUGCCCAGUAGGUCAUCGGGUGUUCAUCUUAUACAUUAAGUUCCAAUAUCACGAGGCGGCUGCGGGCCAGAUAUUGAGCGAGGUCGUUGGAGGUUUGGGAGUGGUAACAUCUAUCUCAACAGGGUGCUCCAGUGACAGGCUGAAAUACAGGGGAUGGCAAAUGCUUAUGUAACACUUGUGUUGCUUAGAACUAGAAAAUGAUGCUACUGGGCCAGUCAUAGGUUUGUGGGGAGUGCUGAAAUCAAACAUAGAAAUUAAAGACUGGAGACAGGGUUUAUAACCCUUUUAAGAAUCCCUUUUCCUUUUGAAUAUGUUCAGGUGUUAAAUACUGCUAAAUAUUAAAUAUAUAAAAUAUUAAAUAAAUGUUCUAUUGCAUAGUUUUUACAACUAUAUUUGUUCUUCUAAAUAAAUAUUAAAUAUGUUAUAUAAAUAUUAAAUAUAUUUAAUUAAGUAAAAUACAAUCAAUGUGUAUACAAUCAACUGCAUACAAAUGUGUACACAAACAACAACAAUCUAAUAUCUAUCAACUGUGUAUACAAAUGGGUAUACAAACAACAAUAUAAUAUCUAUCAAGCAAUAUUUCAAUGUUCAAUUGUUCAAUGUUCGUGGUUCAAUGUCCAAUGGUCAAACCGUAUUGAUAAAUCGGCUUCUUUGGAUUCCUUUGGGUAGGCUCAUCGGGUCAUUGGAUAAGUUCGCCAUCAAAGUUCGGUUCAGGUGAAGUCCUAUGUUUGUGUGCGCUGUCCCGCGGCAACACGGACGUGGUUCUAGGAUCUUUUCAGGGUUUCAAAAAAACUGACCUGCACAUCAGGCCAUGCAUAAAACAAAUAGCACAGUUCACCGAUCACUGAUAGAAAUUCUCUCUCGCUUUUUGGCUAUGGCGGAGGAAUGCUAUUUCUCUCGCUGCAGACUGUAUUACCAUGGUAACGUAAAACUAACUGACAACAGACACUCGACCAUAUAAUAAUUCACAAACGUAAAACAAGACCAAAAAACGUCAUACAUAAACAACGUAAAUAUAUUCCAAACUGAGUUGACUUAGUUGUGACGGUUUAUAUCACUGUAACAUCAAUCAACCCGGUGUACGGGUACUAAAUUAUGCCAAAACUCAACGAAACAGUCUUUGGCACUCGUUUUGUCGAUAGACGCGAGGCUGUUGUGUAAACACUCUCGACUUGAGAUUGAAAACGACCAAUAAUAAUAAAAAUUAUACAGUUUAGUUUUAGUUUUACUAUCACUGCCUCUGAUUUUGUAUCUGAAUCAUUUAACGGUUCUUCAAGCUUGUGUCUGCUACAGAAAGGCGUCUUAAAAGGGCAGUGACGUUAUUAAAGGGAUGUUUGAAAAAACUUUUUCUAGAUAUUUUAUAUAUUAAAUUGUAGAUGUAUUUAUCAUAAUAUUAUCCAUUAUUAUGUAUUACUAUUUAAUAUAUAAUUAAUACUCAAUUUGAGCUAUGGGUUACACUUAUUUAGGCUAUGAUGUGGCAAUGCUUUAUAAUGAUAAGGGACUGCUUUAAUCUGUGCUUGUUCCACCUUUAAUGGUUCCAUGACAUGCUACCAGGUGUUGUGCGAUUAGCCGUUACAAGCCGUUUUGGAAAUCUGCCCCUUAUGACAUCACAGGUGGGCGUGUCCACCUAGAUGUAUGCUGGAUAGAUCAGUCUACCAGCCUACCCAGUGGACUUUAGCACCUAUUCAAACCACACCUGGUGGCAUGUCAUGGGACCUUUAAUUCAAUUUCCCUUUUUGAAUGUGCCGCUCUAGCUUGCGCUGCUUCAGCUUUGGCCUGGCCAUGGCCACUGCCAUAGCCGCUUUGCACAAUUUAACUCUGUAGGAUGGGGGCCUGCCCGUAAUUCCGACACCUCAUUGUUCCGACGUCUCAAUGAUCCGAAAUAUUUCCCAUUAGAUCGACAUGCCACUAUGCCGACGGUUCAAUGUUCCGAAAAUGGAACCCAUUGGUCCGAAGGUCUGUUUGUCCGACUUUUCAAAAAGGAGGCGCAUUAGUAUGGAGUCAGUUUCCUGCCAUAAUUCAAACCUGAAAAAAAAAGUUUCAAAGGCUUGUAAGUCUGGGUUUGAAAACUCAACACCUUGUAAAAAAGGUUUUGCAACACUGAAAAAAGAGAUUAUAACCUGAAAAAAAAAAAACUAAAAUUCAAACAUCUGUAAACAUGAUUUUGUGUUCUAUUUUAUCUUCUUCAUCAUUUUCACCAACACAUUUUCAAAGUUCAAACAAUUUCACCAGCGCAUUUGCAGAGUUUCAAAUCUGGCACUGUUCUAACAGUGUAUUUCAUUGUUGCCCGGUUUUGAACCCUUGUAAAUGGGAUUCUGCAAACAGGUGUUUUCAUUCAUUGAGAAAUACGUUUUGAAAGGUUGAAUAUUUAGUUUUAAAAACUUGUAAAGGUGUACGUUUACAACAUUGCAACGUAUUUUUUCAGAACUGACUUUUCAGCACUGACUUUUCAGAGAUUUGACCACACACGCAAGCUUUGAGUCACGUGAAUAUUGGCAGUGUUCUGACGCCACUCGUUUUGAAACUCCUGACAGUCGAAUCUGAAAAAAAAAAAAAACGUUCCUGGGGGCGGGACCAUUUAGCUCUAAACCUAUUGGUUGCUCUCGGCUGACGUACAUUCCAAUCACAUGUGCCGUUCACCGGGCUGUGCGUGAUUGACAGUGCUCUGCCGGUGACACGAAUAACAAGCGACUUUCGAGGUUGAUUUUGAUUUCCAUUUUCUGGAACCAUGGCUGUUUCCCAAAGUGAAGGCUGCAGCCUCGCUAGGACCGCGUCCUUGCUGGUCGCGUCCUAUGGAGAUGAGACUAUAGCUGUGUUCGAAAUCGUUCCCUAUCAUGGAUGUAGUGCACUAAAUAGGGUGCACGCCACUAUAUAGUGGAGUUAAAAUAGGGUACAUACGAUAUUCCCUACAUGUCUGGAUGGCCGAGCGGUCUAAGGCGCUGCGUUCAGGUCGCAGUCUCCCCUGGAGGCGUGGGUUCGAAUCCCACUUCAGACAUUCUUUGUUGAAUGAUUCAGCAACAAAUGUUUGCCUCAGCUGUGAAGACCCAACUGCCAA
Molecule: long non-coding RNA, 4259 nt
Organism: Gadus chalcogrammus (walleye pollock)
Lineage: Eukaryota; Metazoa; Chordata; Actinopteri; Gadiformes; Gadidae
Exons: 2
Source: RefSeq, a predicted model, not a curated record